Molecule: ribosomal RNA, 373 nt
Filed under: uncultured organism
Description: partial 16S ribosomal RNA
Rfam family: Bacterial small subunit ribosomal RNA
Source: RNAcentral
GUAGGGUGCGAGCGUUAAUCGGGAAUUACUGGGGCGUAAAGCGUGCGCAGGCGGUUGUGCAAGACAGAUGUGAAAUCCCCGGGGCUCAACCUGGGAAUUGCAUUUGUGACUGUACGGCUAGAGUGUGUCAGAGGGGGGGUAGAAUUCCACGUGUAGCAGUGAAAUGCGUAGAGAUGUGGAGGAAUACCGAUGGCGAAGGCAGCCCCCUGGGAUAACACUGACGCUCAUGCACGAAAGCGUGGGGAGCAAACAGGAUUAGAUACCCUGGUAGUCCACGCCCUAAACGAUGUCAACUAGUUGUCGGGUCUUAAUUGACUUGGUAACGCAGCUAACGCGUGAAGUUGACCGCCUGGGGAGUACGGUCGCAAGAUUA